This 704-nucleotide ribosomal RNA is filed under the name uncultured Arthrobacter sp. RNAcentral describes it as "bacterial SSU rRNA". It matches the Rfam family "Bacterial small subunit ribosomal RNA", at positions 412 to 1126 of the family's 1533-position model. The record is from RNAcentral. Lineage: Bacteria; Bacillati; Actinomycetota; Actinomycetes; Micrococcales; Micrococcaceae.
CGGCCUUCGGGUUGUAAACCUCUUUCAGUAGGGAAGAAGCGAAAGUGACGGUACCUGCAGAAGAAGCGCCGGCUAACUACGUGCCAGCAGCCGCGGUAAUACGUAGGGCGCAAGCGUUAUCCGGAAUUAUUGGGCGUAAAGAGCUCGUAGGCGGUUUGUCGCGUCUGCCGUGAAAGUCCGGGGCUCAACUCCGGAUCUGCGGUGGGUACGGGCAGACUAGAGUGAUGUAGGGGAGACUGGAAUUCCUGGUGUAGCGGUGAAAUGCGCAGAUAUCAGGAGGAACACCGAUGGCGAAGGCAGGUCUCUGGGCAUUAACUGACGCUGAGGAGCGAAAGCAUGGGGAGCGAACAGGAUUAGAUACCCUGGUAGUCCAUGCCGUAAACGUUGGGCACUAGGUGUGGGGGACAUUCCACGUUUUCCGCGCCGUAGCUAACGCAUUAAGUGCCCCGCCUGGGGAGUACGGCCGCAAGGCUAAAACUCAAAGGAAUUGACGGGGGCCCGCACAAGCGGCGGAGCAUGCGGAUUAAUUCGAUGCAACGCGAAGAACCUUACCAAGGCUUGACAUGAACCGGACCGGGCUGGAAACAGUCUUUCCCCUUUGGGGCUGGUUUACAGGUGGUGCAUGGUUGUCGUCAGCUCGUGUCGUGAGAUGUUGGGUUAAGUCCCGCAACGAGCGCAACCCUCGUUCUAUGUUGCCAGCACGU